Molecule: ribosomal RNA, 584 nt
Filed under: uncultured bacterium
Lineage: Bacteria
Description: partial 16S ribosomal RNA
Rfam family: Bacterial small subunit ribosomal RNA
Source: RNAcentral
UGGGGAAUAUUGCACAAUGGGCGCAAGCCUGAUGCAGCCAUGCCGCGUGUGUGAAGAAGGCCUUCGGGUUGUAAAGCACUUUCAGCGAGGAGGAAGGUGGUGAGCUUAAUACGCUCAUCAAUUGACGUUACUCGCAGAAGAAGCACCGGCUAACUCCGUGCCAGCAGCCGCGGUAAUACGGAGGGUGCAAGCGUUAAUCGGAAUUACUGGGCGUAAAGCGCACGCAGGCGGUUUGUUAAGUCAGAUGUGAAAUCCCCGGGCUCAACCUGGGAACUGCAUUUGAAACUGGCAAGCUAGAGUCUCGUAGAGGGGGGUAGAAUUCCAGGUGUAGCGGUGAAAUGCGUAGAGAUCUGGAGGAAUACCGGUGGCGAAGGCGGCCCCCCUGGACGAAGACUGACGCUCAGGUGCGAAAGCGUGGGGCAGCAAACAGGAUUAGAUACCCUGGUAGUCCAGCGCUGUAAAACGAUGUCGAUUUGGAGGUUGUGCCCCUUGAGGCGUGGCUUCCGGAGCUAACGCGUUAAAUCGACCGCCUGGGGAGUACGGCCGCAAGGUUAAAACUCAAAGGAAUUGACGGGGUCUAGCUG